ACCUACGGGAGGCAACAGUGAGGAAUAUUGGUCAAUGGUCGGGAGACUGAACCAGCCAAGCCGCGUGAGGGAGGAAGGUACAGAGUAUCGUAAACCUCUUUUGUCAGGGAACAAAGACUGGGACGCGUCCCCGGAUGAGUGUACCCGAAGAAAAAGCAUCGGCUAACUCCGUGCCAGCAGCCGCGGUAAUACGGAGGAUGCGAGCGUUAUCCGGAUUUAUUGGGUUUAAAGGGUGCGUAGGCGGUCCGUUAAGUCAGCGGUAAAUUUGCGGGG
This 273-nucleotide ribosomal RNA is filed under the name uncultured bacterium. RNAcentral's name for it is "partial 16S ribosomal RNA". It matches the Rfam family "Bacterial small subunit ribosomal RNA", at positions 337 to 607 of the family's 1533-position model. The record is from RNAcentral.